GACGAACGCUGGCGGCGUGCUUAACACAUGCAAGUCGAACGGAAAGGCCCCUUUGGGGGUACUCGAGUGGCGAACGGGUGAGUAACACGUGAGUAACCUGCCCUUGACUUCGGGAUAACUUCAGGAAACUGGGGCUAAUACCGGAUAGGAAUCCUUGCUGCAUGGUGGGGGUUGGAAAGCUUCGGCGGUUUUGGAUGGACUCGCGGCUUAUCAGCUUGUUGGUGGGGUAGUGGCUUACCAAGGCUUUGACGGGUAGCCGGCCUGAGAGGGCGAACGGCCACAUUGGGACUGAGAUACGGCCCAGACUCCUACGGGAGGCAGCAGUGGGGAAUAUUUCACAAUGGGCGGAAGCCUGAUGCAGCAACGCCGCGUGCGGGAUGACGGCCUUCGGGUUGUAAACCGCUUUCAGCAGGGGCGAAGCUUGUGGUGACGGUACCUGCAGAAGAAGCACCGGCUAACUACGUG
RNAcentral lists this ribosomal RNA (465 nucleotides) under uncultured bacterium. Its description in RNAcentral is "partial 16S ribosomal RNA". It matches the Rfam family "Bacterial small subunit ribosomal RNA", at positions 28 to 507 of the family's 1533-position model. The record is from RNAcentral.